GUGUGCUCUCCCUCUCUCCGCUCCGGAGCCCAGCUGACUACCCACAGCUGUCUAUCAUCAACCUCCACCUCCGACCGCCACACCUGCCAGCUAUCAGCCUCAUCUCUACCAGUAUUUCAACCCCGGCUCUCCACUCCAUCCCCGCUUGAUUGUCGCCGCUCCAGACUUGGUCCACUCACCUCUGUCUCCCAUUCGGUCAGCUGGGCUCACCUACCUGCCUUCCCCUCUUGCAUCGCCUCCACGGCUCUCCCUGGUUCCCCCUUCGCUCCUCGCCUGACCGCCAGCUACCACAUCCUUUCCUGCCUCUCGUUACUUCAUCUAAGAGACUUCUUCAGUUUUGAAUGACUGGUAGAGAAACUCAGCUAUUUAACGUCUGUGGGGUCGUUGCCAAGACACAAUUUUGUGUUUAUGGGAACGUGACGAGACGAGAUUUCAACACUUUAAGAAAUUAUCUAUGCUGAAUUAUAUGAAAAAUUUGAGCAUUAAACACACCAAUUCCUGCAUUCUGGUGAAUAUUUUUUUUAAAACAAUUUCUGCUUUUUCUGCAUCAAUUUAUGGUGAAAAUGUUUUUAUGGCUUUUUUUGUAGAGUGAAGCUGAAGACAGCGCCUGGUGUAAAGUUCUUAUAACAGCAGCAUUACACUCAAUUGGGUCAUUAAUGUGAAAUCUGCCUAAGUAAAGAAUUUUGGUUAGCU
Molecule: long non-coding RNA, 693 nt
Organism: Micropterus salmoides (largemouth bass)
Lineage: Eukaryota; Metazoa; Chordata; Actinopteri; Centrarchiformes; Centrarchidae
Exons: 2
Source: RefSeq, a predicted model, not a curated record